This 512-nucleotide ribosomal RNA is filed under the name uncultured archaeon. RNAcentral describes it as "bacterial SSU rRNA". It matches the Rfam family "Archaeal small subunit ribosomal RNA", at positions 108 to 623 of the family's 1478-position model. The record is from RNAcentral.
CAUAACCAAAGGACGUGGAUAAACUCGGGAAACUGAGGCUAAACCGCGAUAGACCAAGAUACCUGGAAUGGUUUUUGAUUAAAAUCUAUAUGGCCUUUGGAUUAGACUGCGACCGAUCAGGCUGUUGGUGAGGUAAUGGCCCACCAAACCUGUAACCGGUACGGGCUCUGAGAGGAGGAGCCCGGAGAUGGGUACUGAGACAAGGACCCAGGCCCUAUGGGGCGCAGCAGGCGCGAAACCUCUGCAAUAGGCGAAAGCCUGACAGGGUUAUUCUGAGUGACUUUCGCUAAGAAAGUCUUUUGACACCUCUAAAAAUGGUGUAGAAUAAGGGGUGGGCAAGUCUGGUGUCAGCCGCCGCGGUAAUACCAGCACCCCGAGUGGUCGGGACGAUUAUUGGGCCUAAAGCAUCCGUAGCCGGUUUUACAAGUCCUCCGUUAAAUCCAACUGCUUAACAGAUGGGCCGCGGAGGAUACUAUAAGACUAGGAGGCAGGAGAGGCAAGCGGUACUCAGU